GGUAGAAAAGAGCCUUUGUUUCAUCCUGUUCAACUGUACUCUUUUUCCCUGAGAAGUGAAAACCAAAGGAAGUACUUAUUGUGUCCUGUAUACUCUUCCAUAGUUAAGCUGCCCCCCCUUUCCAUUUCUGCAAAUGUUACUCCGACGAGUACCUACACUCACAGCAGCUCUUUCAUGGCGCUUUCCACCGUACAUCUUCUUCCAUACUCCACCACACCUCCUCAUCUCCUUAAAAUCACAAUCUUCUUACCCUAAAAUUAAUUCUCAUCUCUUCUGCUCCACCGCUCAGUUAUCUUCCUAUAUCACCGAUCCAGUUCCUGAAGAGUCCUCGAAACGUGGUCCUUUAAAACCUGGUUUAUAUCUAGUAGGAACUCCAAUUGGAAACCUUGAAGACAUUACAUUGAGGGCUCUUCGUGUUCUAAAAUCUGCACACGUUAUUCUUGCAGAAGACACUAGGCACUCCGGGAAGUUACUUCACCAUUAUAAUAUUAAGACUUCCCUUCUGAGUUAUCAUAAAUUCAAUGAAUCUCAAAGAGAAUUGUUGGUGUUAAGGAGGUUGAAACAGGGUGAAAUUGUUGCUCUGAUUAGCGAUGCUGGCACGCCUGGCAUUAGUGAUCCUGGUUCAGAAUUGGCAAAAUUAUGCGUGGAUGAAAAUAUUCCUGUCGUUCCUAUUCCUGGACCUUCAGCUGCAGUAGCUGCUCUUUCUGCUUCAGGACUGCCUACCGAUGAGUUUACAUUUGUUGGAUUUCUUUCUAACCAUAGUAGAACCCGGAGAGAGAGGCUGAUGGUGUCCGCAGAUGAGGCAAGAACACAAAUAUUUUAUGUUCCGCCACACAAACUCUCCAAGUUUCUUGAAGAGACUUCAUCACUCUUUGGUGACUCAAGACGUUGUGUAAUGGCUCGGGAGGUCACAAAAGUACACGAGGAGUAUAUGCAUAUUACCAGUUUUGGCGAGGUACUUUGGGGAAAGCAAAAGAUACGUUUUCAGAUCACCAACCAAAGGGAGAGAUCACACUGUUAAUUGAAGGCAAAGCAAAUGAUAUGGUUGAAACUCCUUCAGAUAGUCUGCUGGAGGAUGAAUUGAGACACCUAAUCUCUAGUGGGCAAAGUCUAUCUAUGGCAGUCAAAUUGGUAGCUGAAGAAAUGUCGGUGAAGAAGAAAACAGUUUAUUCACUAGCAUUGAAGAAAUUUGGGAAGCAAUUUGAAGUAGAUGAUAAUUCAUCAACAUCUGUCUAGAACAAUUUUAACUCUUAGAGAUGUGUUGUAUAUUGACGUGUGGCAUUGGAUAAUUGCUCAGUUACAUAAUGAGACGUUAGAUUUAACUGUAA
Molecule: RNA transcript, 1328 nt
Organism: Mercurialis annua (annual mercury)
Lineage: Eukaryota; Viridiplantae; Streptophyta; Magnoliopsida; Malpighiales; Euphorbiaceae
Exons: 9
Source: RefSeq, a predicted model, not a curated record